GAUGAACGCUGGCGGCGUGCCUAAUACAUGCAAGUAGAACGCUGAAGGAAGGAGCUUGCUCUUUCCGGAUGAGUUGCGAACGGGUGAGUAACGCGUAGGUAACCUGCCUGGUAGCGGGGGAUAACUAUUGGAAACGAUAGCUAAUACCGCAUAACAGUAGAUGUUGCAUGAUAUCUACUUAAAAGGUGCAAUUGCACCACUACCAGAUGGACCUGCGGUGUAUUAGCUAGUUGGUGAGGUAACGGCUCACCAAGGCGACGAUACAUAGCCGACCUGAGAGGGUGAUCGGCCACACUGGGACUGAGACACGGCCCAGACUCCUACGGGAGGCAGCAGUAGGGAAUCUUCGGCAAUGGACGGAAGUCUGACCGUGCAACGCCGCGUGAGUGAAGAAGGUUUUCGGAUCGUAAAGCUCUGUUGUAAGAGAAGAACGAGUGUGGGAGUGGAAAGUUCACACUGUGACGGUAUCUUACCAGAAAGGGACGGCUAACUACGUG
This 497-nucleotide ribosomal RNA is filed under the name uncultured bacterium. RNAcentral describes it as "partial 16S ribosomal RNA". It matches the Rfam family "Bacterial small subunit ribosomal RNA", at positions 28 to 507 of the family's 1533-position model. The record is from RNAcentral.